Molecule: RNA transcript, 638 nt
Organism: Brachypodium distachyon (stiff brome)
Lineage: Eukaryota; Viridiplantae; Streptophyta; Magnoliopsida; Poales; Poaceae
Exons: 2
Source: RefSeq, a predicted model, not a curated record
GCAACCCCUAGAGGCCUACAUACGGAUAUAUAUAUAGGCAAUAUAAUAAGGAAGAAGUAACGAUCCGGCCAGCAACUAGGGUUCGCGCGUGUUCAAUCCCCACGAUCGGCAUGGCGGCGGCGUUGCGGCAGACGAUGACGCGGGCCCUGCUCCGCCAUCCUCCUCCUCCCCGCCCGUCGCGCUUCAGUACCAGCAGCGGCACGAGCCAGGGUCAUCGUCAUCGGCCGCGUAGUGAUCAGUAUGAUGAUCGGCAGCGUCAUCACGACCAACUGAGGGCCCAGGCGAGAGGGAUUUGGGAGGAGGAGCGGAAAAGGGCUGCCAUUAGGUUUGGUUACCUGCAAUCGAUACUUGCCCUGGCAAUCCUCUCAGGCUCCGGUUAUGGGAUCUACUACGGAGUCCUCUGAGGCGACGGUCGUCAUAGGAUCUACCACGGCGCCUUAUAGUUCCUCCUAUGUCUUUUCUUAGUAUGUUUUUUAGGCUUUUAGCUACCGCGUUGCGUCAUGUUGAAUAAAGCCGAAUACUUGUGCUGUCGUCCUUCUCUUUUCAGUUCACCGCACCCAGUAGCGAUUUGUAAUAUUGAUAUAACUGAGUAAUUUGGGAGAAUCUAAUUCAUAUGCCGGCCAGCUGCCUUUAUCCUC